ACCCGCUGAAUUUAAGCAUAUAAGUAAGCGGAGGAUAAGAAACUAAAUAGGAUUCCCUCAGUAAUGGCGAAUGAACAGGGAUAAGCUCAGCUUGGAAAUUGGGCCCUCUGGGCUUGAAUUGUAGUCUUUCGAUGGCAUUGCCAGCGGAGGCGCAGAUGUAAGCCUCUUGGAAAAGAGCAUCAAUGAGGGUGAGAGUCCCGUUUGUCAUCUGCAGUCCUCUGUUUACGGUGUGCUUUCUAAGAGUCACGUUCCUUGGGACUGGAGCGCAAAUUGGGUGGUAAAUUUCAUCUAAAGCUAAAUAUUGGUUCGAGACCGAUAGCAAACAAGUACCAUGAGGGAAAGGUGAAAAGGACUUUGAAAAGAGAGUUAAAAGUGCCUGAAAUUGCUGAAAGGGAAGCGAAUGGAACCAGUCUUCUUGGUGAGAUUGUUGUGCGCUAUUGUGAUUGCUUUCUGCUUCAACGCAAGUGUUGCAGUGGGUUUUGAGCAUGACGCGCACUUUGUUUCUCACCUCGUGUGUCAACGUCGGUUCAGAUUUGAGGAAAACUCUAGGGACAUGGGUAAUUGCUCGCGAGUGAUUGAAUGUGCCUGGUAGAACUCAUGUCUAAACUGAUUUCCGCAUGUCUGGUCGCAGUGUUCUCAUUACCUGCGUCUGGGUUCGUGGCUUGUAGCUUCUGUUACUCGUCGCGGGCUCUGGGCCUGGUCGUGGAGCAUCUCCCUGACAUUAGUACGAUGACAAAAUGGUUUCAUUCGACCCGUCUUGAAACACGGACCAAGG
RNAcentral lists this ribosomal RNA (775 nucleotides) under Karlodinium zhouanum. RNAcentral's name for it is "partial large subunit ribosomal RNA". It matches the Rfam family "Eukaryotic large subunit ribosomal RNA", at positions 23 to 671 of the family's 3401-position model. The record is from RNAcentral. Lineage: Eukaryota; Dinophyceae; Gymnodiniales; Kareniaceae.